CUGGCUCAGGAUGAACGCUAGCGACAGGCUAACACAUGCAAGUCGAGGGGCAGCAUAAAAGUAGCAAUACUUGGUGGCGACCGGCGCACGGGUGAGUAACGCGUAUGCAACCUACCUAUCAGAGGGGAAUAACCCGGCGAAAGUCGGACUAAUACCGCAUAAAACAGGGGCACCGCAUGGUGAUAUUUGUUAAAGAAAUUCGCUGAUAGAUGGGCAUGCGUUCCAUUAGGUAGUUGGUGAGGUAACGGCUCACCAAGCCGACGAUGGAUAGGGGAACUGAGAGGUUGGUCCCCCACACUGGUACUGAGACGCGGACCAGACUCCUACGGGAGGCAGCAGUGAGGAAUAUUGGUCAAUGGGCGAGAGCCUGAACCAGCCAAGUCGCGUGAAGGAAGAAGGAUCUAUGGUUCGUAAACUUCUUUUGCAGGGGAAUAAAGUGCAGGACGUGUCCUGUUUUGUAUGUACCCUGAGAAUAAGGAUCGGCUAACUCCGUGCCAGCCGCCGC
Molecule: ribosomal RNA, 505 nt
Filed under: uncultured bacterium
Lineage: Bacteria
Description: bacterial SSU rRNA
Rfam family: Bacterial small subunit ribosomal RNA
Source: RNAcentral